CUUUGGGUAAGAUAGUUCUCUUAAUUGCCCCCAAACUGUUUGCUGGAGAGAAAUCUGUGGUGUUGUUCUGUUGGUAGCUCUUAUUGUUUGAAAACACAGCAGUUGCACGUGGUUAAAAUUCACACAAGGCUAAAGGUAUGUGGUAAGAAAGUGCUCUUCCCAGUUCUAACUCGCAGCGCCCAAUCCCCGCCCCAGAGGCAGCGGCUGUGGCUGUGUCUUGCGUGCCCUUCCAGAGACAUGAAGAUGGAGUGGAAGCUUAACGUAAGCGCCAAUGAAACAUCUGAAACAAAUUUCACCAGAGUUAAUAACUUUGAGAAAAACCCCUCAAUCUCCACUGAUCCAGUGUUUCCACCCUGCCUCCUCUUUAACUCAUCUUCUUUCUUUUCUCUUCCUCUUUUAAUUAAAUGUUAACCCUUCUAUAUUUCUGAGUUAAGAAGACAGGAAAGGAACAAGGCGGGCAGCCUCUGCCACUACCACUGAUUGGCUCGGAAAGGAGACUCUGGCUGGCACACACCAGAUUUACCAGGACUUGAUUCUGAACUCAGCAUUUCUCCCAAGAGCACCAGUUCCGCCUAAUGAGGGCAACUCAAGCGAAUCCACAGGAAAGAAAAAGGAAAGUGAUAUUUUAAUUUUAUCCAGCCUGAAACACAACGGUACGCAAGGACGGUGCCUGCAAUUCUGACUCAUAAAUGUAUCAAUGCGUUAUUUUAUGGAAUAGAGACGUGUUCUGCCCAAAUUGGCUGUGAAGUGAAUAAACAUUAUUUUUCUACUGAAUUCAGCUAUAAAAUGACUAGAAGUCUUCCCACGGGGUUAGGAAAAAAAAGAAAGCAAAAAGCAGAAACCGACCGCCAGCGGGAAGAAAAGAAACGGCAUGGGGCCGACCGCGGCUGGCUUGCGAAGUGCAGAGGUGACUCCGUGCUCUCUGCGGCUGAUUUCUGUCGCUUUUUCCAAAUACCCCGACUGUAAAGAUCAUGCUCAUUUCCUCCCGCUUUGUUCUCCUUGUUUUCUUUUGAGGGGCUAUUAAACCCAGUGGAGCAGACUGCAAUAUUUUGCUUUACCUAGAGGUCCAUUUAACAUAAGCUUCAAGGGUUUGGCUGUAUAAACCCAGCAAUUUCCUACUUCAUCAUCGGUACAUUCACAGUUAUGCAGAUCCAGUCUCCUUGGAUGGGGAGCUGGGACCGCACCGUGCUUCAGCGCAUGGACUUCGCAGCCACACGGACCUGGGUUUGAGACAAAGCUCUGCCACUUAACGGUUACGUGAGUUUGGAGCUAUGAAAUCUCUGGGUCUCAGUUUCCACAUCUAUAUGGUGAGGAUAAUACACAUUUCAGGGGAUUACAGAAAGGAUUAAAUGAGAUUAUACAC
RNAcentral lists this long non-coding RNA (1363 nucleotides) under Equus asinus (donkey). RNAcentral describes it as "lncRNA (ENSEASG00005034391.1)". Lineage: Eukaryota; Metazoa; Chordata; Mammalia; Perissodactyla; Equidae. The record is from RNAcentral.